Molecule: ribosomal RNA, 600 nt
Filed under: bacterium SM18
Lineage: Bacteria
Description: bacterial SSU rRNA
Rfam family: Bacterial small subunit ribosomal RNA
Source: RNAcentral
CAGCUUGCUGCUUCGCUGACGAGUGGCGGACGGGUGAGUAAUGUCUGGGAAACUGCCUGAUGGAGGGGGAUAACUACUGGAAACGGUAGCUAAUACCGCAUAACGUCGCAAGACCAAAGAGGGGGACCUUCGGGCCUCUUGCCAUCGGAUGUGCCCAGAUGGGAUUAGCUAGUAGGUGGGGUAACGGCUCACCUAGGCGACGAUCCCUAGCUGGUCUGAGAGGAUGACCAGCCACACUGGAACUGAGACACGGUCCAGACUCCUACGGGAGGCAGCAGUGGGGAAUAUUGCACAAUGGGCGCAAGCCUGAUGCAGCCAUGCCGCGUGUAUGAAGAAGGCCUUCGGGUUGUAAAGUACUUUCAGCGGGGAGGAAGGGAGUAAAGUUAAUACCUUUGCUCAUUGACGUUACCCGCAGAAGAAGCACCGGCUAACUCCGUGCCAGCAGCCGCGGUAAUACGGAGGGUGCAAGCGUUAAUCGGAAUUACUGGGCGUAAAGCGCACGCAGGCGGUUUGUUAAGUCAGAUGUGAAAUCCCCGGGCUCAACCUGGGAACUGCAUCUGAUACUGGCAAGCUUGAGUCUCGUAGAGGGGGGGUAGAAUU